This 70-nucleotide transfer RNA is filed under the name Igernella notabilis. RNAcentral's name for it is "tRNA-Trp". It matches the Rfam family "tRNA". From Rfam's summary of the family: Transfer RNA (tRNA) molecules are approximately 80 nucleotides in length. Their secondary structure includes four short double-helical elements and three loops (D, anti-codon, and T loops). Lineage: Eukaryota; Metazoa; Porifera; Demospongiae; Dendroceratida; Dictyodendrillidae. The record is from RNAcentral.
AAGAAAUUCGGUUAAUGAAGGCCGUAUCACUUCAAAUGAUAAAGCGGAAGCUCAUAUCUUCCAUUUCUUA